This is a long non-coding RNA of Engraulis encrasicolus (European anchovy), 379 nucleotides long. RefSeq lists it as uncharacterized. The record is from RefSeq and is a predicted model, not a curated record. Lineage: Eukaryota; Metazoa; Chordata; Actinopteri; Clupeiformes; Engraulidae. The transcript has 3 exons.
ACAUACUUAUGCCAGUAAAAGCCACAGCUUUUCUCCUCCAAUCCAAGAAGCCUGGACUGCAGUCACCAUCUCAACACACCAACCAAGAGAAAGGCGGAUGGCUCAAUUCAAUAUGGAAAAUUGCACAAUAAAAGUUCCAGGACAUGAAGGCUGCAUACUGUGAACGUCAACCUUCAGGGCACCGUCCUGCGCAGAAGACUUUCUACCCUAAGAGGGAUGGCUGACCGCAGACACUCACAACCAGCACAGACGCCUCCAACCUCAAACUAGGCCCUUCACAGUUGCUGCACUUACCCACCUUCCCAGAGUUUUUGUGUGGUAAUGACAACUGUAAAUAUAGUAUAAAGUAAUGUAUCUAGUGUCAUGUGUAAUGCAUUGU